UACGUAGGUGGCAAGCGUUUUCCGGGAUUAUUGGGCGUAAAGCGCGCGCAGGCGGUCCUUUAAGUCUGAUGUGAAAGCCCACGGCUCAACCGUGGAGGGUCAUUGGAAACUGGGGGACUUGAGUGCAGAAGAGGAGAGUGGAAUUCCACGUGUAGCGGUGAAAUGCGUAGAGAUGUGGAGGAACACCAGUGGCGAAGGCGACUCUCUGGUCUGUAACUGACGCUGAGGCGCGAAAGCGUGGGGAGCAAACAGG
RNAcentral lists this ribosomal RNA (253 nucleotides) under uncultured bacterium. RNAcentral's name for it is "partial 16S ribosomal RNA". It matches the Rfam family "Bacterial small subunit ribosomal RNA", at positions 524 to 776 of the family's 1533-position model. The record is from RNAcentral.